ACCUGCAUCCGAAAGUGAGUGUGGUCUGCUUGUGUCCUGGUCAUUGGUAGUGCAGGGAGAGGAAAGCUGAAAGGGUUUUCCCCGUGUUUGGAGGGUCCGCUCUGUUGCUUCCAAAUCCUGGAGCUUUCACACA
Small nucleolar RNA from Otolemur garnettii (small-eared galago), 133 nucleotides. Its record names the gene SNORA71. It matches the Rfam family "Small nucleolar RNA SNORA71". From Rfam's summary of the family: The members of this family belong to the H/ACA class of snoRNAs which bind a number of proteins (including dyskerin, Gar1p and Nop10p) to form snoRNP complexes. This class of snoRNAs are thought to guide the sites of modification of uridines to pseudouridines by forming direct base pairing interactions with substrate RNAs. NCBI's taxonomy places the organism in Eukaryota, Metazoa, Chordata, Mammalia, Primates, Galagidae. The record is from Ensembl.